RNAcentral lists this non-coding RNA (23 nucleotides) under Cricetulus griseus (Chinese hamster). Lineage: Eukaryota; Metazoa; Chordata; Mammalia; Rodentia; Cricetidae. The record is from RNAcentral.
UGUCACUGUUGGAGCCCUCAGAC